Molecule: ribosomal RNA, 789 nt
Filed under: uncultured archaeon
Lineage: Archaea
Description: bacterial SSU rRNA
Rfam family: Archaeal small subunit ribosomal RNA
Source: RNAcentral
ACGGCUCAGUAACACGUGGACAAUCUAACCUACGGAAGAGGAUAACCCCGGGAAACUGGGGAUAAUACUCUAUAGACUAUGGAUGCUGGAAUGCUUUGUAGUCGAAAGGUCCGCCGCCGUAGGAUGGGUCUGCGGCCGAUUAGGUUGUUGUUGGGGUAACGGCCCAACAAGCCUGUAAUCGGUACGGGUUGUGGGAGCAAGAGCCCGGAGAUGGAUUCUGAGACACGAAUCCAGGCCCUACGGGGCGCAGCAGGCGCGAAAACUUUACAAUGCGGGAAACCGUGAUAAGGGAACUCUGAGUGCCCGUAAAAUCGGGCUGUCCAUCAGUUUAAAAAACUGGUGAAGAAAGGGCCGGGCAAGACCGGUGCCAGCCGCCGCGGUAAUACCGGCGGCUCGAGUGGUGGCCACUAUUACUGGGCUUAAAGCGUUCGUAGCUGGUUUGUUAAGUCUCUGGGGAAAUCUUCCGGCUCAACCGGAAGGCGUCUCAGGGAUACUGGCAGACUAGGGACCGGGAGAGGUGAGGGGUACUUCAGGGGUAGGAGUGAAAUCCUGUAAUCCUUGAGGGACCACCUGUGGCGAAGGCGCCUCACCAGAACGGCUCCGACAGUGAGGGACGAAAGCUGGGGGAGCAAACCGGAUUAGAUACCCGGGUAGUCCCAGCUGUAAACGAUGCGCGUUAGGUGUAUCAGUGACCACGAGUCACUGAGGUGCCGAAGAGAAAUCGUGAAACGUGCCGCCUGGGAAGUACGGUCGCAAGGCUGAAACUUAAAGGAAUUGGCGGGGGAGCAC